This 230-nucleotide ribosomal RNA is filed under the name uncultured microorganism. Its description in RNAcentral is "partial 16S ribosomal RNA". It matches the Rfam family "Bacterial small subunit ribosomal RNA", at positions 524 to 753 of the family's 1533-position model. The record is from RNAcentral.
UACGGAAGGUCCAGGCGUUAUCCGGAUUUAUUGGGUUUAAAGGGAGUGUAGGCGGUCUGUUAAGCGUGUUGUGAAAUUUAGGUGCUCAACAUCUACCUUGCAGCGCGAACUGGCGGACUUGAGUGCACGCAACGUAUGCGGAAUUCAUGGUGUAGCGGUGAAAUGCUUAGAUAUCAUGACGAACUCCGAUUGCGAAGGCAGCGUACGGGAGUGUUACUGACGCUUAAGCU